GAUGAACGCUGGCGGCGUGCCUAAUACAUGCAAGUCGAGCGAACGGACGAGAAGCUUGCUUCUCUGAUGUUAGCGGCGGACGGGUGAGUAACACGUGGAUAACCUACCUAUAAGACUGGGAUAACUUCGGGAAACCGGAGCUAAUACCGGAUGAUAUUUUGAACCGCAUGGUUCAAAAGUGAAAGACGGUCUUGCUGUCACUUAUAGAUGGAUCCGCGCUGCAUUAGCUAGUUGGUAAGGUAACGGCUUACCAAGGCAACGAUGCAUAGCCGACCUGAGAGGGUGAUCGGCCACACUGGAACUGAGACACGGUCCAGACUCCUACGGGAGGAAGCAGUAGGGAAUCUUCCGCAAAGGGCGAAAGCCUGACGGAGCAACGCCGCGUGAGUGAUGAAGGUCUUCGGAUCGUAAAACUCUGUUAUUAGGGAAGAACAUAUGUGUAAGUAACUGUGCACAUCUUGACGGUACCUAAUCAGAAAGCCACGGCUAACUACGUG
RNAcentral lists this ribosomal RNA (497 nucleotides) under uncultured bacterium. Its description in RNAcentral is "partial 16S ribosomal RNA". It matches the Rfam family "Bacterial small subunit ribosomal RNA", at positions 28 to 507 of the family's 1533-position model. The record is from RNAcentral.